This is an RNA transcript of Sapajus apella (tufted capuchin), 528 nucleotides long. It is a transcript of the gene named 60S ribosomal protein L14 pseudogene, with no coding region annotated. The transcript is spliced from 2 exons. NCBI's taxonomy places the organism in Eukaryota, Metazoa, Chordata, Mammalia, Primates, Cebidae. The record is from RefSeq and is a predicted model, not a curated record.
AUGGAACCGGGCACAGGGCACUUAAAAAUCAGCGUUAUCCUCAAGUUUCCACACAGUGCCCGCCAGAAGUAUGUCCGGCAAGCCUGGCAGAAGGAGACAUCAAUACAAAAUGGGCAGCCACUCGAUGGGCCAAGAAGAUUGAAGCCAGAGGAAGGAAAGCCAAGAUGAUAGAUUUUGAUCAUUUUAAAGUUAUGAAGGCAAAGAAAAUGAGGAGCAGAAUAAUCAAGAAUGAAGUUAAGAAGCUUCAAAAGGCAGCUCUACUGAAAGCUUCUCCCAAAAUAGCACCUGCUGCUAAGGGUGCUGCUGCAGCUGCUGCUAAAGUCCCAGCAAAAAAGAUGACCGCCGCAGGCAAGAAGACUCCAGCCCAGAAGGUUCCUGCCCAGAAAGCCACAGGCCAGAAGGCAGCGCCUGCUCCAAAAGCUCAAAAGGGUCAAAAAGGUCCAGCCCAGAAAGCACCUGCUCCAAAGGCAUCUGGCAAGAAAGCAUAAGAGGCAGUUAUACAAAGUAAUAAAGGUUCUUUAAAAAAAA